GAUGAAGAACGUAGCGAAAUGCGAUAAGUAAUGCGAAUUGCAGAAUUCAGUGAGUCAUCGAAUCUUUGAACGCACAUUGCGCCCUGUGGUAUUCCGCAGGGCAUGCCUGUUCGAGCGUCAUUUCAACCCUCAAGCCCCGCUUGGUGUUGGGCCCCGCCCGCUGUGGCCGGCCCUAAAGACAGUGGCGGCGCGGCCUGGCCCUCAGCGUAGUACAUCUCUCGCUCCAGGGUCCGGUGGCCGCCUGCCAGAACCCCCCAACUCUGUGGUUGACCUCGGAUCAGGUAGGGAUACCCGCUGAACUUAAGCAUAUCAAUAAGCGGAGGA
RNAcentral lists this unclassified non-coding RNA (324 nucleotides) under soil metagenome. Its description in RNAcentral is "partial contains 5.8S ribosomal RNA, internal transcribed spacer 2, and large subunit ribosomal RNA". The stretch from base 1 to 120 matches the Rfam family "5.8S ribosomal RNA", at positions 35 to 154 of the family's 154-position model. The record is from RNAcentral.